GGGUAAAAGCACUGUUUCGGUGCGGGCUGGGAGACCGGUACCAARKCGAGACAAACUCUGAAUACCCAGAGCACACAUUGCCAGUGAGACAGUGGGGGAUAAGCUUCAUUGUCAAGAGGGAAACAGCCCAGACCACCAGCUAAGGUCCCCAAAUCAUCGCUAAGUGAUAAAGGAGGUGAGAGUGCACAGACAACUAGGAGGUUUGCCUAGAAGCAGCCACCCUUGAAAGAGUGCGUAAUAGCUCACUAGUCAAGCGCUCUCGCGCCGAAAAUGAACGGGGCUAAGCGAUGUACCGAAGCUGUGGGAUUAAUAAUUAACGAUUAAUCGGUAGGGGAGCGUUCCGUCGUAGGUAGAAGCAGUAGCGGCAAGCAGCUGUGGACGAAACGGAAGUGAGAAUGUCGGCUUGAGUAGCGCAAAUAUUGGUGAGAAUCCAAUACCCCGAAACCCUAAGGUUUCCUCCGCCAGGUUCGUCCCCGGAGGGUUAGUCAGGACCUAAGGCGAGGCCGAACGGCGUAGUCGAUGGACAACGGGUUAAAAUUCCCGUACUGAUUGUAGGUUGUGCAGAGGGACGGAGAAGAUGAAUGUCAGCCGGAUGUUGGUUACCGGUUCAAGCNGUCGAGAUGUUGAGAGACGGCGAAAACGUUUCGAGUUGAGGCGUGAGUACGACCCACUACGGUGGGGAAGUGGCAUAGNUCUAGCUUCCAAGAAAAGCUCUAAACACGUUAACUUACAGUUACCUGUACCCGAAACCGACACAGGUAGGGAGGUWGAGAAUACCAAGGGGCGCGAGAUAACUCUCUCUAAGGAACUCGGCAAAAUGRCCCCGUAACUUSGGGGAGAANGGG
Molecule: ribosomal RNA, 845 nt
Filed under: Desmonostoc muscorum UTEX B 2494
Lineage: Bacteria; Bacillati; Cyanobacteriota; Cyanophyceae; Nostocales; Nostocaceae
Description: bacterial LSU rRNA
Rfam family: Bacterial large subunit ribosomal RNA
Source: RNAcentral